CGGCUCAGUAACACGUGGAUAACCUACCCUCAGAUCUGGGAUAACUCCGGGAAACUGGAGAUAAUACCGGAUAAUCCGUGAACGCUGGAAUGCCUUACGGUUGAAAGCUUUAGCGUCUGAGGAUGGGUCUGCGGCCGAUUAGGUAGUUGCUGGGGUAACGUCCCAACAAGCCGAUAAUCGGUACGGGUUGUGAGAGCAAGAGCCCGGAGAUGGAUUCUGAGACACGAAUCCAGGUCCUACGGGGCGCAGCAGGCGCGAAAACUUUACGCUGCGCGAAAGCGCGAUAAGGGGACCUCGAGUGCGUGCGCAAUGCGUACGCUUUUCAGAUGCCUAAAAAGCAUCUGGAAUAAGGGCCGGGCAAGACCGGUGCCAGCCGCCGCGGUAACACCGGCGGCUCAAGUGGUGGCCGCUAUUAUUGGGCUUAAAGGGUCCGUAGCCGGACCAGUUAGUCCCUUGGGAAAUCUUACGGCUUAACCGUAAGGCUGCCAAUGGAUACUGCUGGUCUUGGGACCGGGAGAGGCAAGAGGUACCUCAGGGGUAGGAGUGAAAUCCUGUAAUCCUUGAGGGACCGCCAGUGGCGAAGGCGUCUUGCUAGAACGGGUCCGACGGUGAGGGACGAAAGCUAGGGGCACGAACCGGAUUAGAUACCCGGGUAGUC
Molecule: ribosomal RNA, 658 nt
Filed under: uncultured euryarchaeote
Lineage: Archaea; Methanobacteriati; Methanobacteriota
Description: bacterial SSU rRNA
Rfam family: Archaeal small subunit ribosomal RNA
Source: RNAcentral